RNAcentral lists this small nuclear RNA (80 nucleotides) under Pelobates cultripes (western spadefoot toad). It matches the Rfam family "U2 spliceosomal RNA", at positions 1 to 82 of the family's 192-position model. Rfam says of the family: U2 is a small nuclear RNA (snRNA) component of the spliceosome (involved in pre-mRNA splicing). Complementary binding between U2 snRNA (in an area lying towards the 5' end but 3' to hairpin I) and the branchpoint sequence (BPS) of the intron results the bulging out of an unpaired adenosine, on the BPS, which initiates a nucleophilic attack at the intronic 5' splice site, thus starting the first of two transesterification reactions that mediate splicing. The record is from RNAcentral. Lineage: Eukaryota; Metazoa; Chordata; Amphibia; Anura; Pelobatidae.
AUCGCUUCUCGGCCUUUUGGCUAAGAUCAAGUGUAGUAUCUGUUCUGUGCCUAGCCUUUAGGUGCUUUGGAGUAUCUUCC